GACGAACGCUGGCGGCGUGCUUAACACAUGCCAGUCGAACGAAGAGCGAUGGAAGCUUGCUUCUAUCAAUCUUAGUGGCGAACGGGUGAGUAACGCGUAAUCAACCUGCCCUUCAGAGGGGGACAACAGUUGGAAACGACUGCUAAUACCGCAUACGAUCUAAUCUCGGCAUCGAGGAUAGAUGAAAGGUGGCCUCUACAUAUAAGCUAUCACUGAAGGAGGGGAUUGCGUCUGAUUAGCUAGUUGGAGGGGUAACGGCCAACCAAGGCGAUGAUCAGUAGCCGGUCUGAGAGGAUGAACGGCCACAUUGGGACUGAGACACGGCCCAGACUCCUACGGGAGGCAGCAGUGGGGAAUCUUCCGCAAUGGACGAAAGUCUGACGGAGCAACGCCGCGUGAGUGAUGACGGCCUUCGGGUUGUAAAGCUCUGUUAAUCGGGACGAAAGGCCUUCUUGCGAAUAGUGAGAAGGAUUGACGGUACCGGAAUAGAAAGCCACGGCUAACUACGUG
RNAcentral lists this ribosomal RNA (510 nucleotides) under uncultured bacterium. RNAcentral's name for it is "partial 16S ribosomal RNA". It matches the Rfam family "Bacterial small subunit ribosomal RNA", at positions 28 to 507 of the family's 1533-position model. The record is from RNAcentral.